GCUGUGAUGGCCGAGUGGUUAAGGCGUUUCAUCUGAAAUCCAAUGGGGUUUCCCCACGCAGGUUCGAACCCUGCUCUCUGCU
This 82-nucleotide transfer RNA is filed under the name Dallia pectoralis (Alaska blackfish). RNAcentral's name for it is "tRNA-Ser". It matches the Rfam family "tRNA". From Rfam's summary of the family: Transfer RNA (tRNA) molecules are approximately 80 nucleotides in length. Their secondary structure includes four short double-helical elements and three loops (D, anti-codon, and T loops). The record is from RNAcentral. Lineage: Eukaryota; Metazoa; Chordata; Actinopteri; Esociformes; Umbridae.